UUUUUUUUUUUCUUUCUUUAGGAUUCCACCCUGCUGGAGCCUCGAGCGUCCGCCUGCCUCCCAGCUCGCCGGCGUGGGGACCGGGAGCCUUCUUCGUGCUGGGCGGGUUGGCUCCCGAGUGGGGGCCCGGGGCUCCUAGGCCUCGAUCUCGUCUCUCUGGGAGACCCUGCGUCUGGGUGUGGGGCGAAGUCGUGCCAAGCUCGGGCUCCAGGCUAGCAACCUGUGCCCGUAGCCCCCCGCGCGCCCCCAGCCGUGGGUGCGGCGGGCUUGGGGGUUGUCUUUGUACUUCUUUAGAAGACGGGAGCAAGCGGUGGGGACGAGACCCGCUGUAAGGCCCUGCCGAGGUCUUCCCACACGCCGGGAACUCGAGGUGGAAAGGUCCGCUCCCUCCAGGUCCCGCCACUCCACAUGCCCAGCCAGGAGACCACCACGGAAUUUGCCCCAAGUUGGUUGGUUUGUGGCCUAUUCUGUUUUUAUUUUGUCUAGGAUUAGCGGGGUUUGAAAUUUUUGUGGCCAGCCCUACUACCCCGGGGCUUCAACUUUCAAACCAACAAGUCACCGGGUACGUUCCGGCGAAACUGGAUCUCCCGGUGCGCUGCUGGGACGCGUGCUGGGAAUAGAAACGAAAUCCUGCUCGCAGGGCGCCGGGCGGACUCCUGGGCCUGGGGUUGCAGGGCCGUUUCCGAACCCCGCGGGAUGGGGCUAGAAGUCGGCCUUGACCCCGCCAGGGUCACGGCCAGCACUUCGCCUUGAUCUUUGCACGUGCCGGUGAUGAUCCUGCGAUCCCUGGCCUCGGACGCUGCCUGCCCCCAAGCGACGUCCGCAGCUGCUAACGCCUUCCGCGGGGCUGCGCCUACGUGCCCAGAUCAGAAUCAGGUUUGCUGCUCCAGGUUAGGAGCACGCCGGUUACCUCGUGUGACCCGGGACUUGCGACGUCCGCCCAAAUCCAGGCUGGCUACCAGCGCCCCCGCCUCCCAGAGUCUCGGGAGCCCCGCGCCCCACAGCAUUCUCUCUUUCCAAACUCUGGGCCAACACGUGUCCCCGCGCUGCCUCCUUCCUUCCUUCCUUCGCCGCACGUCCCAGAGGCCUCACUCGGACUGGGCCCGCCAGGAUGUAAGGUCGCAUCUCCUUGCCCCCCACCCCCCACCCCAGAACCCCACCCGGGCUUGCCCCUGCCAGCCUUGGCCCACGUUGUCACCAAAGGUCGUGUCGGAGAGGGGGGCGACCGGAAAGGUGGGGUUUCUGGGCCCUUCAAGUGGCACCCUAGCAGGAGCAACACUUCUAGCCAGGGUGGCGGGAGGGACACCUAUGGCUGCUUUGGAGGACGGGGAGGUGCGCGAAAGCCAAGAGGAGAAAAAUAUGGUAGAGGUGACUACGUUGUGGGUGUAAGCAGCUUGCUUCUUAACUCCUCACCCCACCACCCCCAAACCCGAGCGGCUGACAAAAUUGUCUAUCUUUUCUUUUAAAUACCAAACUCCCAGAGGGUGGGGCGGAGCUGAGGGCACGCGGCUCCCCCAGAGCCAGCCUGUACCCAGCAACUGUGGCAGCCGCACUUUCCAGGGCAGACGCCUUACACUUCGAUCUGUGUUUGCUUCCAAUAUAAAGGAUCCGGUUCACAAAGGGGCACCCACUUCCAUCCCCCCCCCCCCACCUCCACCCCUGUGAACCCUUCCUAGAACCUCAAGCACUUGGAUCCUGUGUAUUGAUGUUUAAUUUUCUGGCACCCUAGCUUGCCCUGAGAGAUUUUAAGAGGGCAAGGAGAAGAUCAAGUUAGGAUUAAGAAAAGAAGACUGGGCGUUCUUUUAGGGGGAGGGCUAGAGAUGAAUUCAAAAUCGAAUGUGGAUGAAUUUGGAAGUGUUCUGAGAUUUCAUUUCCUUCAGAAGCUGUCUGCUUUAGACCAAAACUUACUGGAAUUAUUAUGAAGCUGGGAGUCUGUGGGACAAGACGAUCAAAGAGGCUUGCCGGACAUCCCUUAACCCAACCCUCUCCUCCAAAGCUCUAAGCUCAGCUUAGUGACAUAAGUACCAUCCAACACUGGCACUGGGCUGCCUCAGUGUGUUCAUGGAGGGUUCCUUCAGGGAUGCCAAGGCCCAGAGGGUGAUGCAGGAUGGGGUGGGCUCCCCAAGGCCGAAGGACAGUAUCUGUCCUCUGGGAUGGAGCCUGGAAGGGAACUACAGGAAACAGGCCUGAGUGGGAGGCCUAGGAGGCCUCCAGUGCCUUGCCAGUGUCAGGGGAGGGAUGACCCAGCCACCCCUCCUCCUGCAAAGCCCCUCUGCUGAUGGUUAUUUAAAGCCUCAAGCUGAUAUUCCUCAUCUUGAUGCCUAGGUUAAGAAAGAAAGAAAGAAAGAAAGAAAGAAAGAAAGAAAGAAAAGAAAGAAAGAAAGAAAGAAAAAAAGAAAGAAAGAAAAGGGUAGAACAUGUACCAAGGUUUGGAGUUAUUUAUGUAGGUUCUCCAUUUACUUUUAUUUGUAGGGUUUUCUUCUUUUUUGUUAUUCCUUCCCUCUUUCCCUGCAGUGUUGGCAACCCUGGAGGACGAGACUUAGGGGGAAGGGUAAACUUGACCUGUUUAUUCUUGUUAACCAGUCACAGAAACAGGAUAAAUACUAACUCUCCAUACUUACUACGGUCUUUUAAAAUCUGUACACAUACAUAGCCAGUUAGGUGGAAAUGGUUGGGACUAAGGCAUCUCUAAACAUCGAACUGGUAAACUAGCUAAUCCUGUCCCUUUAAGAAAAAUCCAUAAAGCUCUUCCAUCAGCCCAGUGUCUGGGAAAGGAGCAAACUAACUGCUUGGAACAAAAGAGACAAAGAGGCCAAACAACAAAACAAACAAACAACUCCCUUUCCCCCCUCCAGACAACAAUAGACUAGACGCAGCAAGUGCAGUGACUGCCCGGCCGGCUGCUGCUGUCCACCUGCCAAGUCUCCCGCAUUUGGCUGGAGACUUUCCCUCUCGCCCC
Molecule: long non-coding RNA, 2959 nt
Filed under: Canis lupus familiaris (dog)
Lineage: Eukaryota; Metazoa; Chordata; Mammalia; Carnivora; Canidae
Description: lncRNA (ENSCAFG00845011254.1)
Source: RNAcentral